Molecule: ribosomal RNA, 422 nt
Filed under: uncultured bacterium
Lineage: Bacteria
Description: bacterial SSU rRNA
Rfam family: Bacterial small subunit ribosomal RNA
Source: RNAcentral
UGAGGAAUAUUGGGCAAUGCCCGCAAGGGUGACCCAGCAACGCCGCGUGGAGGAUGAAUGUCGUAAGAUUGUAAACUCCUGUUAGAGGGGAAGAAUAGUACCGGUUGGACCGGUAUAUGACUGUACCCUCAGAGAAAGCCCCGGCUAACUAUGUGCCAGCAGCCGCGGUAAUACGUAGGGGGCAAGCGUUGUCCGGAUUUACUGGGUGUAAAGGGCGCGCAGGCGGGAUAAAAAGUCAGUGGUGAAAUCCUACAGCUUAACUGUAGAACUGCCUUUGAUACUUUUAUUCUUGAGUUCGGGAGAGAGAGACGGAAUUCCAGGUGUAGUGGUGAAAUACGUAGAUAUCUGGAAGAACACCAGUUGCGAAGGCGGUCUCUUGAUCCGACACUGACGCUGAGGCGCGAAAGCGUGGGGAGCAAACA